RNAcentral lists this ribosomal RNA (468 nucleotides) under uncultured bacterium. RNAcentral's name for it is "partial 16S ribosomal RNA". It matches the Rfam family "Bacterial small subunit ribosomal RNA", at positions 28 to 507 of the family's 1533-position model. The record is from RNAcentral.
GACGAACGCUGGCGGCGUGCUUAACACAUGCAAGUCGAACGGAAAGGCCCUGCUUUUGUGGGGUGCUCGAGUGGCGAACGGGUGAGUAACACGUGAGUAACCUGCCCUUGACUUUGGGAUAACUUCAGGAAACUGGGGCUAAUACCGGAUAGGAGCUCCUGCUGCAUGGUGGGGGUUGGAAAGUUUCGGCGGUUGGGGAUGGACUCCCGGCUUAUCAGCUUGUUGGUGGGGUAGUGGCUUACCAAGGCUUUGACGGGUAGCCGGCCUGAGAGGGUGACCGGCGACAUUGGGACUGAGAGACGGACCAGACUCCUACGGGAGGCAGCAGUGGGGAAUAUUGCCCAGUGGGCGGAAGCCUGAUGCAGCGACGCCGCGUGCGGGAUGACGGCCUUCGGGUUGGAAACCGCAUUCGCCUGUGACGAAGCGUGAGUGACGGUAAUGGGUAAAGAAGCACCGGCUAACUACGUG